UUUAUUUGAGAGAGAGAGAGAGAGAGAGAGACCAAGUGGAGGAGGGGCAGAGGGAGAAGGAGAAAAUCCCAUGCAGACUACAUACUUAGGGGACCUAAGUAUCUAGUAAGUUUAAUGCAGAUUAAAUAAGGAAAUUGCAAAAAUGCCUUUUGGUUAUAGACUAUGUUUAUUGAUAUACAUAUUCAUUAGGUGCCUAAUAAAUAGUAGGAAUGACUACAGAGAUAACUCCAAAGUGGUACUUACUGUGUGCCAGAACUGUUCUGAGGUGCUUCAUGAAUAUUAACAGAUUAACUCUUUAGGGCACUUAGGAGGGGCCAUUACUAUCCUUCACGUUACAAGUUUAGAACCUGAGGCCCUAAGAUGUUAAUGAUGUUUAAGAAUUUGCUCAAGAAAGCGCCCUCCGACCACAGCUAGAAAGAAGUGAGGCCAGAAUGCAAAGGAGGCAAUCUGGCUCCAGGCCAGAUGCUUCUCACCAUCUCAUUUGGCCAACAAAGAAAUGGCAGCCCUGAGAGGCAAGACCCCACUUCCCCCCACCCCCCUUAUCAGCCAACCCCCCUUUUGGCAAAGGUUCUGUGGCUCUGGGCCUCUACAUGCAAACCGAAGCCUCUGCAGAUCUCCCCUUUCUAAGUUUUCUCUGGCUAUUUUCCUGAAUGUUGGUUCAUGGAUCGCCCCACUGGGGAGUAAACGUGAAGAAACUUCUCUUUGUUCCUGUAUCUGUGUCCAGCUGCCACCAUGAAAGCACUGCCCAGAAUCCUAUCAGCUCUUCUCAUGUAGCUCAGCUUGCCUUCUGCUUUAUUAGACUCACAGACACCACUUCACUUAGGUUCCCUAAUUGGUUUACCUACUAUCGAUCUUUCCCCCUCUGCUUAAGGGAUUCUGGACAGGGCGAGCACAAACAUGCUAUAAAAUAAACCUGCCACAAUAGAGGCGCUUUGCUUUAAGCCAUCCCACGGGGUCCUCAGCCAUGGGCUUUCUGGCCUUCUCACUCCCUUUUCUUUAGGUCUUGAGGGAGCUUCCAAUCCCAGAGGCACCCCCUCAUGAUGCAUGCACUGCACUCAGGAGAAGCUUGAAAUGGUUUGUGGUUAACAAACCAUUCCUGAUGCUCUACAGUCAGUUUUAUCCCCCAGCCUCCAGAACCCAGAAUUACAAGCCUGAAAUGUAAGACAUUCAGGAAAGGAACAAAUAAAGUAAUUUAUUUCCUUUUACUCAUCUCUUCCCAAUAUGGCUAAAUGUUCCCUCAUCAUGAUCUCUGGUUGCUAUCAUGACACAUCCACAUAUCAGCAUCUGUAAGGAAGGGGACACCCAAGGCUUUCAGAACAGGCCUCGAUUCCACUGGUGGGUUACUGAAUUAUUAAAGGUAUUAAGGAACAUGUGUGGUCUGAAUUUUAGGGUUAGCAUAUUUGUCUGCGCAACAUAUAUGGUAGCUCUUUCCACAUUUAGACGAUAUUCUAUAUGUCAAACAGGGAGGGCCUCACUGAAGAAGGGACCGCUGAACAAAGUUUUGAAGGAGGUGAGGGAGUGAUCACAGAGAUGUGAAAAGACAAGUGUAGAGGCCUGGAGGUUCACGUAUGGUGGGCAUGGGAGGAAGGAAGGAAGGGGGCCACCUAAGGGACAGGCACAACUGUCCAAUGCUGUGGGAUGCUAUAAAGACCACGGCCACCUCCACAGGGAAUGAGUGCCACUGUGCCCCUGUUCCAAGCCCAGGAAUGAGAACUCGGAUUCAUGAGUUAGCUGGAGCUCAGGGCAGGAUGGAAGCAGGGACAAGUGAAAAAACUACUUCCAUGAUCCCAGGGCUUCCCACCUCCAUAACAGCAGUAUAAUCAGGAGUCAUUCUCUGGAAUUCUAUUGGAAUACAGUACGGUCAUUCUCUGGAAAUACACUGAAGGAGCAGCCAACAGGGUGAUCUUGUAUUUAUUUAUUUACUGUUUGUCUCCCACACUAGUAUUAAGUUGCACCAGAGCAGUCUUGGGUUUGUUUUGUUUUCUGCAUCCCCAGAGCCCAGAACAGUGCCUGGCACAUAACGACUCUGCAAAUAUCUGCAAUACAUAAAUGAACCUGCCAGAGUUUGAAAAGCAGUCAAGAGGCUAAGCUAGGAUUCCAAUCCAGGGAUUUCUCACUCCCAAGUUUCAGUUUAUAGUCACUAUGCUAUUCUGCUUCUACUCGCAUAACUUUUUACCAGGAAUAAAAGGUCCCCCCACUUCCACACACACACUAAGGUAUACUCAGGUCAAUGCACUCCUCAACAUCUCUCUAUAAGGCACAAGAUAUCAUUAGCCAUCUGUGCACAGUAUUGACAUCUGGAAGAUAAGGGUCAGAAACAAGGAAAGGUCCUAAGAAGCUCCUACGUACUCUAACAUGACCCUAACACAGCCCUGGUUGGAGUGUGUGUGUGUGUGCGUGCAUGUGUGUGUGUGUGCUUGUGUAUAGAAUUUCCUUUCUGGUAAAGAUACUCUAUUAAUAGCGCUCGAUAGCUACACAAAAGAUAUACAAGGGAAAUUCCUUCUUGCAGUUCUAAUGAAAAUGGAAAAUGAGUCAGGGAAGCAGUCUUUAAGAACCUGAAUGGAGUGGGGCAUCAGGGUGGGCACAGGUAGGUCAGCAAGGGAAUAUUUAAAAAAACAGUGUUAGUGAGGAUAAGUCACAGAUUCUUUUUUUUUUUAAGAUUUUAUUUAUUUAUUCAUAGACAGAGAGAGAGGCAGAGACACAGGGAGAGGGAGAAGCAGGCUCCAUGCAGGGAGCCCGAUGUGGGACUUGAUCCCGGGUCCCCAGGAUGACACCCCAGGCUGCAGGCGGCGCCAAACUGCCGCGCCACCAGGGCUGCCCAAAGUCACAGAUUCUGAGGAGAAUGGAUCUUCCUAGAACUUAGAGUGAUCCAGCUACAAAUGAAAACGACAACAAACUUUCCAAUGGAGAGGAACAGGUAACCCGAGAGCGCUCAGCUGCUCUAGAGGUCUGAUGCCAAUUAAGCCUCUCUCCUGGUGCCCUUAAUCAGAGGACAGCACAGCAUCAAGUCUGGAGAGGCACCUGCUGGGUUGAGAUACCGCCUCUCCCUGACUAGCUAAAUAUCCUUGGGCAACAUUCUUGAAUUCUUUGUUUCUCAAUCUCCUCAUCUGUAAAAAGAGAUAAAAUAUUACCCAUCUCCUAGGAUAUUCAGUCAGGACUAACUAUAUUAACACAGGGCAAAACAUUUAGAACAGUGCCUGGCUCCCACUGAUAGUUGGCCCUUACUGAAUGAACACUGGUUACUUCCCCUAGAGGGUUCGCCUUGGUGCCACAAAAGGCACUUAAAUUACCAUCUCCAACCCCACCCCUACUGCCAACUCAUCCAGGUAACUAAGAAAAGGAAUCCCUUUAUGAUGUUUGAGUCCAGAAGGACAAACCUGGUGUCCUGUGCCUGGGGUUCGAAAGAGAUGAACCUGGAGUCUGAUUAUCAAGAAUGUCAAGUCACUGAGGUCAGUGUGAGGCUGGCUGUGACGGUGGGGGCCACAGGGCCUGAGGAGGAACACACUCGCAGAGAAUACCCACAAAUAUUAUUCAUAAUCACAGCUUUCAAAGGAAGUUCUGAGAAUCCACGGAAAUAUUUAUUAUUGUGUCAUUCCUAGAAUAAAUAAUUAUGGAAUAGAAAUCUAUCUGAAUUGAGGAACAGCAAUUAUGGUCCUAGGAAUCAUUCUCUCAGACUGUUACAAUCUCUUGUCUUGGAAAGUGGACAAGUCAUAGAUGGAACCUAUUGGGACUUUUGAUGCUGUCUCAUAUCAUAAUGAUAAUCUGGGGAAAUACUGGCUCCCUCUACAAAUAUUAGCCUUUGAGUUAUUAGUGAGUCUUUCCCUUCGCAAGGGACAGGGCAUGCUUAUUAAAGACCCAGAGGGGAGGCUAGCACAAACUUAUUAAGUUUGCAGAUGACAUUAAUGGCAGGGCAGGGUGUGAGUUACUUUAAAACACAGAAUACCAAAGGAAAGGGACAAGGGGCUGUGAGUGCACAUGAGCCUCUUAAAAAAUGAUGAAGUCCCUUACACUCUCCUCUGACAUUUAUCAUCUAUGCUUACCAAGUUUGAGCCAAGACAUGAAUCCAAAGCAAUUGCAUGCGCUGAUACCUAUAAAAUACCAUUAAAGAUCUGCACCCAGGAGACCCUUGUUUAUUAAUGAAUCACCCACAGUCAGAGAUGUGUUUCCUUCUUUUGCAGGAAACUAGAAGAUCCCUUAAAACCAUAAAGCCAGAUGAUAUUUCCUAUGGGAGUGUUCUUGGGAAGACACAUCUAGAAAUCGUUCCCAGGUUUCAUGGGAAUCAGCACUCAUCUGGAAUGAAGUUGGAUCAGGUCAGGGCUACGUAACCAUGAGGUGGGGCCACAAGCCCACCACGGGGACCCAGGGACCAGGCCCAGCCCUUAGCAGCUCCCUGUACAGCACAGGGGAGUCACAGCCAGGUGACAUUCUGCUGCAGGAUGAGUGGGGGUCGUUACUAGCAUAACGAACAAAUGCUCAAGGUACAGAUUUGGAUAUCCAGACUCUGGAAGUCUAGCUUUUUACAAGGAUAUAUUCAUGAUUUUUCAAGCAAAAACAAAUUAGAAUUUACUUGGUGGACUGUCAAUGAGAAGAUGUCGAUUUUUUUUCAAAAAAUAUUUUUAUUUAUUUAUUUGAGAGAAAGAGAGAGAGAGAGAGCACAGGUCGGGUGAGGGGCAGACUCCCCACUGAGCAGGGAGCCCGAUGUGGGGCUUGAUCCUGGGACUCCAGGAUCACAACCUGAGACUAAGACAGCCACCCAACUGACUAAGCCACCCAGGCACCCCAAGAAGAUGCUGAUUUUAAACAUCAUUACAAUUUAAACAGUACUAAAACCAACUCAAAACAGAUUUGUUUUUUACUGAUGGCCUUUGCUUUCUUUACGUGUAACUGAUCUGAAGGACGGAUAUCUGGAUAUCUGAGGGUGAAUCGGUUUCCUUCUCUCAGCUAAAUAAGAGAAGGAAAGUGCCUAGCACUCUGCCGUACACAAACUGCUUCCCACUGUCAGUGCAUGAAGGGCUCAUACACACUUGGGGAGACCGAGAAAUCAGAGGCUUAUGUCUUUACACUAACUCACCACAUGUGUAUGAAGGAUCCAAACAGUUUGUUUAAAUGAGCAUUUGUGAUGGAAUCUUUUAUCUUUUAAAAGCCGCUUCUAUACUAUCUGUUUAUUGAUCAUUCGUGGUUAUUAUGGAACAACAGUGCAUAGAAACACUGCAUGGAGAGGUCAGCUUUUUAGAUUUCUGGUGUUCUUCAUGGAACCAGGCUGCUAGUUCCAAUUGUCUUGUCAUUAUUCGUUGUGUCCAAAAGUUUCCCAGCCCCUCCAACAAUUCCCGCUUCUAAUCUACUGAGUUCAAAACCCAGAUAACUAAAUUUUUUAAAAUUUGCAUUAAAUAUAAGCCAGAAGGCACUGAAUAGACAACCUAGGGGUGAGGAGCAUAUUUUUGUGCCAUGACAUUGAUAUAGCCCAUUUAUGAGCACAGCAUUGUAUUUUAAACUUAUUAGUAGAUGAAUACUGGGUCUGGUGCAAAAUGAACAUGUGUAGUUAGAACGUUGCUUUCUCUUUGCCAAAAGAGAUUCACAGAAUUGUAAAUAAAUAUAAAACCUAAAAUUAUUUUCAUAAAGAUUAAUUAAUUCAUAUUAUUCAGAAGUCCAAUAUUUUUUAGAACAUAAAAUUUGUGAAUUGUUAUAAUCAAGUAACAGUAUUCAAUCAAAUCCAUUUUAUACAAUUAAGAAAUUAUGCUAUCUUCUGAAAAGUGAUGUUCUAAAAUAACAUUUUAAAGAUUUUAUAUUUGGCCUACUAUAAUCUGGAAUCUAUUUUCCUGUAGCAUCUUUUAUAGCUAUUUAAAGGCUAACCUUUUAUUUGAGAAAUAAUCACCAUCAGUGUUUUCCCCCUCUGUGUCACUCAAAGUGUUUGGGACAAUUUUACACUAUUGUUCAAGUGACACAUUCAAAUGCCUAAUAUAUAAUUGACUUCGCAUGGAAAUUUUCUCAAGAAAGGAAAAAAGCCCCCCAAAAUGUGUGUUUUAAUCUUAUUU
Molecule: long non-coding RNA, 6032 nt
Filed under: Canis lupus familiaris (dog)
Lineage: Eukaryota; Metazoa; Chordata; Mammalia; Carnivora; Canidae
Description: lncRNA (ENSCAFG00000057778.1, ENSCAFG00845027579.1)
Source: RNAcentral